AUGAACGCUGGCGGCGUGCCUAAUCCAUGCAAGUCGAGCGAACAGACGUGGAGCUUGCUCCUCUGACGUUAGCGGCGGACGGGUGAGUAACACGUGGAUAACCUACCUAUAAGACUGGGAUAACUUCGGGAAACCGGAGCUAAUACCGGAUAAUAUAUUGAACCGCAUGGUUCAAUAGUGAAAGACGGUUUUGCUGUCACUUAUAGAUGGAUCCGCGCCGCAUUAGCUAGUUGGUAAGGUAACGGCUUACCAAGGCAACGAUGCGUAGCCGACCUGAGAGGGUGAUCGGCCACACUGGAACUGAGACACGGUCCAGACUCCUACGGGAGGCAGCAGUAGGGAAUCUUCCGCAAUGGGCGAAAGCCUGACGGAGCAACGCCGCGUGAGUGAUGAAGGUCUUCGGAUCGUAAAACUCUGUUAUUAGGGAAGAACAAAUGUGUAAGUAACUAUGCACGUCUUGACGGUACCUAAUCAGAAAGCCACGGCUAACUACGUG
Molecule: ribosomal RNA, 496 nt
Filed under: uncultured bacterium
Lineage: Bacteria
Description: partial 16S ribosomal RNA
Rfam family: Bacterial small subunit ribosomal RNA
Source: RNAcentral